GGAUGAUCUGGCUGACAUCUGUCAUCCCACCAAUCACCAUCACCAGGGUUGAUGUGGCUGGCUAGGUGGGUGUCCCUCCCAAGAUUAUGUGCUCAGUCACAGAGGAGACCUUCCCUGAUAGAGGAGGAUUAUUCUUUGGUCAAAGGUAUAUGAGAAGCUGCACUCCCCUACAAGAACUUCCAAACAAACUCUCAAAAUAAUAAUUCCUCGUACUUAUCUAUAAUACAUAAAGUAGAUGAAUAAGAAGAAAAAAUUCGUUUUACUCAUAGAAGAUAAAUGUCUAUGCUAAGAUGCAAGCGAUAGCUCGU
Molecule: small nuclear RNA, 308 nt
Filed under: Otolemur garnettii (small-eared galago)
Lineage: Eukaryota; Metazoa; Chordata; Mammalia; Primates; Galagidae
Description: 7SK RNA
Rfam family: 7SK RNA
About the family: 7SK was discovered as an abundant small nuclear RNA in the mid-70s but a possible function has only recently been suggested. Two independent studies have found that 7SK RNA binds the CDK9/cyclin T complex (known as elongation factor P-TEFb).
Source: Rfam by way of RNAcentral